AAUUCCCUGGGGUGUUUGUCAGCGGAUCUACGUCCCUGAGCCGAUAAGCAAAACUAAGGGUGCGUUGUUAUAGGCUACUGAGCAAGCUCGGCAUGCACCGAGAAGCCUACGGCUUAUACUACCCACCCGCCUUGAACCAGCGGGUUCAAGGGCCAUCGAUCCCAACGGCACCCCGGGGUCCUC
Non-coding RNA from Salinivibrio sp. KP-1, 183 nucleotides. It matches the Rfam family "6S / SsrS RNA". From Rfam's summary of the family: E. coli 6S RNA was the first non coding RNA to be sequenced, but its function was unknown until recently. NCBI's taxonomy places the organism in Bacteria, Pseudomonadati, Pseudomonadota, Gammaproteobacteria, Vibrionales, Vibrionaceae. The record is from Rfam.